UUUAACGAGAGUUUGAUCCCGGCUCAGAAUCAACGCUGGCGGCGCGCCUAACACAUGCAAGUCGAGCGAGAAAGCAGACUUCGGUCUGCAAGUACAGCGGCAGACGGGUGAGUAACACGUGGGUAACCUGCCCUUGAAUGGGGAAUAACCUUGGGAAACCGGGACUAAUACCGCAUACGAUCUUUGUUACACAAGUAGUGAAGAUGAAAGCCUUCGGGCGUUCGAGGAGGGAUCCGCGGCCGAUUAGCUUGUUGGUAAGGUAAUGGCUUACCAAGGCACCGAUCGGUAGCCGGCCUGAGAGGGUGAACGGCCACACUGGCACUGAGACACGGGCCAGACUCCUACGGGAGGCAGCAGUGGGGAAUCUUGGACAAUGGGGGAAACCCUGAUCCAGCAAUUCCGCGUGAACGAUGAAGGCCUUAGGGUUGUAAAGUUCUUUUAGUAAGGAAGAU
RNAcentral lists this ribosomal RNA (452 nucleotides) under Bryobacterales bacterium. RNAcentral describes it as "bacterial SSU rRNA". It matches the Rfam family "Bacterial small subunit ribosomal RNA", at positions 1 to 449 of the family's 1533-position model. Lineage: Bacteria; Pseudomonadati; Acidobacteriota; Terriglobia; Bryobacterales. The record is from RNAcentral.